Molecule: ribosomal RNA, 484 nt
Filed under: uncultured bacterium
Lineage: Bacteria
Description: partial 16S ribosomal RNA
Rfam family: Bacterial small subunit ribosomal RNA
Source: RNAcentral
AUUGAACGCUGGCGGCAGGCCUAACACAUGCAAGUCGAGCGGAUGAAGGGAGCUUGCUCCUGGAUUCAGCGGCGGACGGGUGAGUAAUGCCUAGGAAUCUGCCUGGUAGUGGGGGAUAACGUCCGGAAACGGGCGCUAAUACCGCAUACGUCCUGAGGGAGAAAGUGGGGGAUCUUCGGACCUCACGCUAUCAGAUGAGCCUAGGUCGGAUUAGCUAGUUGGUGGGGUAAAGGCCUACCAAGGCGACGAUCCGUAACUGGUCUGAGAGGAUGAUUCGUCAACCCGGAACUUGAGCACGGUCCAGACUCCUACGGGAGGCAGCAGUGGGGAAUAUUGGACAAUGGGCGAAAGCCUGAUCCAGCCAUGCCGCGUGUGUGAAGAAGGUCUUCGGAUUGUAAAGCACUUUAAGUUGGGAGGAAGGGCAGUAAGUUAAUACCUUGCUGUUUUGACGUUACCAACAGAAUAAGCACCGGCUAACUUCGUG